Molecule: long non-coding RNA, 648 nt
Organism: Cicer arietinum (chickpea)
Lineage: Eukaryota; Viridiplantae; Streptophyta; Magnoliopsida; Fabales; Fabaceae
Source: RefSeq, a predicted model, not a curated record
UAUCCAAAGCUGGCUCCACCGCUGCAGUCAUGACCUGUGACACCGACCCAUUAACCUUUUAUGUUAAUUACAACAUCAGCCCCAUAUAGCUGCACAGUCUCACGUAGCUGUCUCUUCUGCAUGUUAGCCUUAGCCGUUGUUAAAAUUGAUCAAGUGUUUGAUAAGAAAGCACUGUUGUGUGGGAAACAAGGAGAAUAUAGCAUUGCUAUAUCCAUUACCAAAUGCUAUCUAAAACAGAAGAUAUAGCAUUGCUAUUAUGCUAUAUACCCUGUGAAAAGUUGUUUUGUUCCGUAUGUGAUUGAUCAGAAGAUGCUGUAAGGUAUUGUUGGCAAUAUUAUAGAAGUAGAAUUAGAUGAGACCAGGUGAAGAAAGAGAAGGAUAACUCUAGCCUUCUAUCUUCUAACAACUCAGCUGAUUAGAUGCAAGUCUUGAAUUUAGUGACUGAAUACAAGUGAGCUCUUAUAAGUUAUAAGUAGGUACAUACAACAAUUGCAAUUGGAGAAUUGAUCAUGUAAGUGUUACAGCCUCUCGAUUAUGCAAUAUAUUAACUUGUUGUGAUGACAGUUCUUUUGGACAGUUAUUCCAUGUAGCAUAAAUGUUUCUUGCAUAUGUACAUUCUGGUAUUCAUUUUGCGAUUUCAUACGAUAA